UCACCCAACUGGGCCUUUUUCUGCGCUGAGAGUCUUCCUGUAUGACUCCUCUUCGGGGUCGUACCAGAGACGGUGGAUAAUGUCGAGGAGCGUCACCGGCCUCUGUAAACGGGAUGUUGUGCAGGAUGUGCAGGAGGAAAUGUAAAGGAUAGCCGAAAUCUAUAUUUUCUCCUUGAAACGGUGCUUGUAUCGUUUGAGCUUUCGGGUUUAUGCUCAAUUACUUAAUAUCCAGUGGUGAAAAAAACACAAAAAAAAGAUUCGUUGCUAGAUUUUAUUGAGAAUAGUCACCAGGCCCCCAACGACGCGAACGAAAAUAACGACUAUCGACAACACCGUCCUUACCUUCUAUUCGACCACACUUUACUUUGCUUGCUACGAUAGGAAAAAAAUUGUUGGCAUAUCGACAAAAAUGAUCUCACCUCUGCUUGGAGCCCCUCGAUUCGUCGCAAUGAGAUUGAUGCCUAUAUGCAUUCGAUAUCAAGGACACGCAUACGAUUGAUUGUACAGGUUCACUUAGCAGUAAUUGUCUUUGGGCUAGCCGUAUAAGCCCCCCUGAGGCAAGGCGUAAACCGACACCAGAAUUAGAAAGGCAGGGAGCUUUUCUAUUAAAGUUCUUUUCUAUAACUAAUUUAAGCAGAAUAUCGGCUAAACACGUCACGGAAAGGUAUGCUCCUGUAAAGUGUGGUCAUACUUACCAACAUCAGAGCGUAACCCACUCUGGGUACAGCGCAAGGAAUUCGAGGACCUCCCCUUAUGCGCAUAGAACGAAGUAAAACAUAAGAAACGAUUGAUUUGGGAGGCGAUUUGUUUUCCAGUUCGUGGCGCCUUCAAUUCAAAAUAUUGAAGUGUAAAUAAAAUAAGCCCAAAGUGGAUAUAGUAGUCCAAGAUGAGUUGAUUAGAAAAUGCGUUCAUAAUUUUCAUAUACCAGCUAAAUGAACAUAAUGAAUACGGGAGAUUAAGUGUAGAAUAAUGCCAAAACGUAUUCAAAUAUUAAUUUUUAAAACAUAUUAAAGUAUUUUAUUAGCAGAUUACCCAAGAGGAUAUUCUCAGCACCACGUAGGCUUACGUCGAUGGAUAAAAGAUCUUGAAGACCUUCGACGAGCCUUCAAGAGUUGUCUUCUAAAAAUUAGUAUCGUUUUCGGCAAGCAUUGACACUUUUAGGUGAAGCACCUUCAAAUGCUUCCUAAACAAUUCCUGAACUGGAUAAGAGUGUUUGAAAUGCGAUGAAUGUUUCUGGCACUUGUUUCAGUUCGACCAUAAAAAAGUCCGCUCAACAUUACAUUCCGUUUGCUUUGCCCCGGCUUCUUCAACGAUCGUGUCUGACACUUGAAAAUGUUCUUACGAUUGUUCCACGUUCAUGAUAUGAUACGUAUCUAUGUAUCAGCUUGUUGCCGAAUGAUCGAAGACUGAUUUCUUACACAAAUGUUAAGCUUUUCCUUUCGAAACUAUAUGUGUAAUAUUUUUGAAAUGUUGCGCAAGGGCUGCUGCGGUUUUGGGCUUACUUCAAAUAAAUACGAGGAUAUUGAGCGAUUGAA
Varroa destructor (honeybee mite) is the source of this 1535-nucleotide long non-coding RNA. The record is from RefSeq and is a predicted model, not a curated record. NCBI's taxonomy places the organism in Eukaryota, Metazoa, Arthropoda, Arachnida, Mesostigmata, Varroidae.